UAAGGAAUAUUGGUCAAUGGACGCAAGUCUGAACCAGCCAUGCCGUGUGAAGGAUGAAGGGUCCUCUGGAUUGUAAACUUCUUUUUAUGAGGGGGGCAGGAAAAAAUGGGAAAUCUUUCUCACUUGACAGUACCCUAUGAAUAAGCACCGGCUAACUCCGUGCCAGCAGCCGCGGUAAUACGGAGGGUGCAAGCGUUAUCCGGAUUCACCGGGUUUAAAAGGGUGCGUAGGCGGGGCGUAUAAGUCAGUGGUGAAAUCCUGGAGCUUAACUCCCAGAACUGCCAUUGAUACUAUAUGUCUUGAAUAUGGUGGAGGUAAGCGGAAUAUGUCAUGUAGCGGUGAAAUGCAUAGAUAUGACAUAGAACACCUAUUGCGAAGGCAGCUUACUACGCCUAUAUUGACGCUGAGGCACGAAAGCGUGGGGGAUCAAACAGGAUUAGAUACCCUGGUAGUCCACGCCCUAAACGAUGAUUACUCGACGUGUGCGAUAAACGGUACGCGUCUGAGCGAAAGCUUAAGUAAUCCACCUGGGAAGUACGACCGCAAGGUUGAAACUCAAAGGAAUUGACGGGGUCAUAGCUGUUUCCUG
This 589-nucleotide ribosomal RNA is filed under the name uncultured bacterium. RNAcentral describes it as "partial 16S ribosomal RNA". It matches the Rfam family "Bacterial small subunit ribosomal RNA", at positions 355 to 1376 of the family's 1533-position model. The record is from RNAcentral.